CGUAGAUGAAUGCAGUCGACGGUGAAGCGAGUGCUUGCACUCGUGGAUCAGUGGCGAACGGGUGAGUAACACGUGAGUAACCUGCCCUCCACUCUGGGAUAAGCGCUGGAAACGGCGUCUAAUACUGGAUACGACCAACCUUCGCAUGGGGUGUUGGUGGAAAGAUUUAUCGGUGGUGGAUGGACUCGCGUCCUAUCAGCUUGUUGGUGGGGUAAUGGCCUACCAAGGCGACGACGGGUAGCCGGCCUGAGAGGGCGACCGGCCACACUGGGACUGAGACACGGCCCAGACUCCUACGGGAGGCAGCAGUGGGGAAUAUUGCACAAUGGGCGAAAGCCUGAUGCAGCGACGCCGCGUGAGGGAUGACGGCCUUCGGGUUGUAAACCUCUUUCAGCAGGGAAGAAGCUUUUGUGACGGUACCUGCAGAAGAAGCACCGGCUAACUACGUGCCAGCAGCCGCGGUAAUACGUAGGGUGCGAGCGUUGUCCGGAAUUAUUGGGCGUAAAGAGCUUGUAGGCGGUUUGUCGCGUCUGCUGUGAAAAUCUAGGGCUUAACCCUGGACGUGCAGUGGGUACGGGCAGACUAGAGUAUGGUAGGGGAGACUGGAAUUCCUGGUGUAGCGGUGGAAUGCGCAGAUAUCAGGAGGAACACCGAUGGCGAAGGCAGGUCUCUGGGCCAUUACUGACGCUGAGAAGCGAAAGCAUGGGGAGCGAACAGGAUUAGAUACCCUGGUAGUCCAUGCCGUAAACGUUGGGCGCUAGGCGUGGGUCUCAUUCCACGAGAUCCGUGUCGCAGCUAACGCAUUAAGCGCCCCGCCUGGGGAGUACGGCCGCAAGGCUAAAACUCAAAGGAAUUGACGGGGGCCCGCACAAGCGGCGGAGCAUGCUGAUUAAUUCGAUGCAACGCGAAGAACCUUACCAAGGCUUGACAUGCACCGGAUCGCCUCAGAGAUGGGGUUUCCCUUUGGGCUGGUGCACAGGUGGUGCAUGGGUUGUCGUCAGCUCGUGUCGUGAGAUGUUGGGGUUAAGUCCCGCACGAGCGCACCCUCGUUCUAUGUGCCAGCACGUAAUGUGGGGACUCAUAGAGACUGCCGGGUCACUCGGAGAAGGGUGGGGGAUGACGUCCAAUCAUCC
Molecule: ribosomal RNA, 1133 nt
Filed under: Kytococcus sp. LZB010
Lineage: Bacteria; Bacillati; Actinomycetota; Actinomycetes; Micrococcales; Kytococcaceae
Description: bacterial SSU rRNA
Rfam family: Bacterial small subunit ribosomal RNA
Source: RNAcentral